Long non-coding RNA from Sphaerodactylus townsendi, 554 nucleotides. RefSeq lists it as uncharacterized. The record is from RefSeq and is a predicted model, not a curated record. The transcript is spliced from 2 exons. NCBI's taxonomy places the organism in Eukaryota, Metazoa, Chordata, Lepidosauria, Squamata, Sphaerodactylidae.
CUGAUCCAGCAGGCUAGUUCUUAUGUUCUUAUCUCCUCCUCCAAAUUCUGCCGUCGAGGAAUGCUGGAGACGGAAGUCAUGCCCCCUGUGGAAAAACCACUGUCAUAUUAAAAUGUUUAUUUUCUAUGUUAUAAUAACAAGUAAAGGACAGGAUAAUUCAAGAUAACAACAGAGAUAGACAUUUCCUCUUGUUUCGCAAUGCAUUUUUUCUUUCUUGUUUAGAAGAUGGGAAGGAAUCUAGAAAUUAUGACAAAAUAGAUGAGAUAAUGUAUUUCAUUUAUUUCACUGUAGGAGAAAUGUUAAGAAAUUGAAGAAGCAAAUGAUUAAAUAGAAAACAUUGAAAACGAUGAUAGAAAGAAUAUAUUCAUAAUGAGGAGUGUUGUAUUAUUUGGUUUUCAGACUGAGCUAAUAUAAUACGUAUCAUAUUUUCUUUUCUUGGAUAGUUCCGUACAAUAGUUUUGUGUUUAUUACAUAUUGUAACUUGUAUUUUCUUGUUUUCUCUUGAUUCUGUAUUGUUGUAUUUUAAUUGACUUUUACAAUCAAAAUUAAGAAAA